CCUACGGGAGGCAGCAGUGAGGAAUAUUGGUCAAUGGACGAAAGUCUGAACCAGCCAAGUAGCGUGAAGGAUGACGGCCCUAUGGGUUGUAAACUUCUUUUAUAAAGGAAUAAAACGAGGCACGUGUGCCUUGUUGCAUGUACCUUAUGAAUAAGGAUCGGCUAACUCCGUGCCAGCAGUCGCGGUAAUACGGAGGAUCCGAGCGUUAUCCGGAUUUAUUGGGUUUAAAGGGUGCGUAGGUGGGUUGUUAAGUUAGUUGUGAAAGUUUGGGGCUCAACCGUAACAUUGCAUUUGAUACUGGCGGACUUGAGUGUAGUUGAGGUAGGCGGAAUGCGUGGUGUAGCGGUGAAAUGCAUAGAUAUCACGCAGAACCCCGAUUGCGAAGGCAGCUUACUAAACUACGACUGACGUUGAUGCACGAAAGUGUGGGUAUCAAACAGGAUUAGAUACCCGGGUAGUC
This 460-nucleotide ribosomal RNA is filed under the name uncultured bacterium. RNAcentral describes it as "partial 16S ribosomal RNA". It matches the Rfam family "Bacterial small subunit ribosomal RNA", at positions 338 to 795 of the family's 1533-position model. The record is from RNAcentral.